Molecule: ribosomal RNA, 710 nt
Filed under: bacterium StP10-27F
Lineage: Bacteria
Description: bacterial SSU rRNA
Rfam family: Bacterial small subunit ribosomal RNA
Source: RNAcentral
UGCAGUCGAGCGAACAGACGAGGAGCUUGCUCCUCUGACGUUAGCGGCGGACGGGUGAGUAACACGUGGAUAACCUACCUAUAAGACUGGGAUAACUUCGGGAAACCGGAGCUAAUACCGGAUAAUAUAUUGAACCGCAUGGUUCAAUAGUGAAAGACGGUUUUGCUGUCACUUAUAGAUGGAUCCGCGCCGCAUUAGCUAGUUGGUAAGGUAACGGCUUACCAAGGCAACGAUGCGUAGCCGACCUGAGAGGGUGAUCGGCCACACUGGAACUGAGACACGGUCCAGACUCCUACGGGAGGCAGCAGUAGGGAAUCUUCCGCAAUGGGCGAAAGCCUGACGGAGCAACGCCGCGUGAGUGAUGAAGGUCUUCGGAUCGUAAAACUCUGUUAUUAGGGAAGAACAAAUGUGUAAGUAACUAUGCACGUCUUGACGGUACCUAAUCAGAAAGCCACGGCUAACUACGUGCCAGCAGCCGCGGUAAUACGUAGGUGGCAAGCGUUAUCCGGAAUUAUUGGGCGUAAAGCGCGCGUAGGCGGUUUUUUAAGUCUGAUGUGAAAGCCCACGGCUCAACCGUGGAGGGUCAUUGGAAACUGGAAAACUUGAGUGCAGAAGAGGAAAGUGGAAUUCCAUGUGUAGCGGUGAAAUGCGCAGAGAUAUGGAGGAACACCAGUGGCGAAGGCGACUUUCUGGUCUGUAACUGACGCUGA